This 30-nucleotide non-coding RNA is filed under the name Homo sapiens (human). The record is from RNAcentral. Lineage: Eukaryota; Metazoa; Chordata; Mammalia; Primates; Hominidae.
UAGAAGAAUGGCACGCAGGGUUUGCUGGGC